Molecule: ribosomal RNA, 253 nt
Filed under: uncultured bacterium
Lineage: Bacteria
Description: partial 16S ribosomal RNA
Rfam family: Bacterial small subunit ribosomal RNA
Source: RNAcentral
UACGAAGGGGGCUAGCGUUGUUCGGAGUUACUGGGCAUAAAGGGCGCGUAGGCGGCCCUCCAAGUCGGAUGUGAAAGCCCUGGGCUCAACCCAGGAAGUGCAUUCGAAACUGCAGAGCUGGAGUCCUGGAGAGGAAGGCGGAAUUCUCGGUGUAGAGGUGAAAUUCGUAGAUAUCGAGAGGAACACCGGUGGCGAAGGCGGCCUUCUGGACAGUGACUGACGCUGAGACGCGAAAGCGUGGGGAGCAAACAGG